AUUGAACGCUGGCGGCAUGCCUUACACAUGCAAGUCGAACGGUAACAGGUCUUCGGAUGCUGACGAGUGGCGAACGGGUGAGUAAUACAUCGGAACGUGCCUAGUAGUGGGGGAUAACUACUCGAAAGAGUGGCUAAUACCGCAUGAGAUCUACGGAUGAAAGCAGGGGAUCGCAAGACCUUGUGCUACUAGAGCGGCCGAUGGCAGAUUAGGUAGUUGGUGGGAUAAAAGCUUACCAAGCCGACGAUCUGUAGCUGGUCUGAGAGGACGAUCAGCCACACUGGGACUGCGUCACGGCGCAGACUCCUACGGUAGGCAGCAGUGGGGAAUUUUGGACAAUGGGCGCAAGCCUGAUCCAGCAAUGCCGCGUGCAGGAUGAAGGCCUUCGUGUUGUAAACUGCUUUUGUACGGAACGAAAAGCCCCGGGUUAAUACCCUGGGGUCAUGACGGUACCGUAAGAAUAAGCACCGGCUAACUACGUGCCAGCAGCCGCGGUAA
Molecule: ribosomal RNA, 498 nt
Filed under: uncultured bacterium
Lineage: Bacteria
Description: partial 16S ribosomal RNA
Rfam family: Bacterial small subunit ribosomal RNA
Source: RNAcentral